RNAcentral lists this ribosomal RNA (301 nucleotides) under uncultured bacterium. RNAcentral's name for it is "partial 16S ribosomal RNA". It matches the Rfam family "Bacterial small subunit ribosomal RNA", at positions 509 to 807 of the family's 1533-position model. The record is from RNAcentral.
CAGUCGCCGCGGUAAUACGGAGAGUGCAAGCGUUAAUCGGAAUUACUGGGCGUAAAGCGUGCGUAGGCGGUUCGUUAAGUCUGUUGUGAAAGCCCCGGGCUCAACCUGGGAAUGGCAAUGGACACUGGCGAGCUAGAGUGUGUCAGAGGAUGGUGGAAUUCCCGGUGUAGCGGUGAAAUGCGUAGAGAUCGGGAGGAACAUCAGUGGCGAAGGCGGCCAUCUGGGACAACACUGACGCUGAGGCUCGAAAGCGUGGGGAGCAAACAGGAUUAGAUACCCGUGUAGUCCCUGUCUCUUAUAC